GCUCAGGACGAACGCUGGCGGCGUGCCUAAUACAUGCAAGUCGAGCGGACAGAAGGGAGCUUGCUCCCGGAUGUUAGCGGCGGACGGGUGAGUAACACGUGGGUAACCUGCCUGUAAGACUGGGAUAACUCCGGGAAACCGGAGCUAAUACCGGAUAGUUCCUUGAACCGCAUGGUUCAAGGAUGAAAGACGGUUUCGGCUGUCACUUACAGAUGGACCCGCGGCGCAUUAGCUAGUUGGUGAGGUAACGGCUCACCAAGGCGACGAUGCGUAGCCGACCUGAGAGGGUGAUCGGCCACACUGGGACUGAGACACGGCCCAGACUCCUACGGGAGGCAGCAGUAGGGAAUCUUCCGCAAUGGACGAAAGUCUGACGGAGCAACGCCGCGUGAGUGAUGAAGGUUUUCGGAUCGUAAAGCUCUGUUGUUAGGGAAGAACAAGUGCAAGAGUAACUGCUUGCACCUUGACGGUACCUAACCAGAAAGCCACGGCUAACUACGUGCCAGCAGCCGCGGUAAUACGUAGGUGGCAAGCGUUGUCCGGAAUUAUUGGGCGUAAAGGGCUCGCAGGCGGUUUCUUAAGUCUGAUGUGAAAGCCCCCGGCUCAACCGGGGAGGGUCAUUGGAAACUGGGAAACUUGAGUGCAGAAGAGGAGAGUGGAAUUCCACGUGUAGCGGUGAAAUGCGUAGAGAUGUGGAGGAACACCAGUGGCGAAGGCGACUCUCUGGUCUGUAACUGACGCUGAGGAGCGAAAGCGUGGGGAGCGAACAGGAUUAGAUACCCUGGUAGUCCACGCCGUAAACGAUGAGUGCUAAGUGUUAGGGGGUUUCCGCCCCUUAGUGCUGCAGCUAACGCAUUAAGCACUCCGCCUGGGGAGUACGGUCGCAAGACUGAAACUCAAAGGAAUUGACGGGGGCCCGCACAAGCGGUGGAGCAUGUGGUUUAUUCGAAGCAACGCGAAGAACCUUACCAGGUCUUGACAUCCUCUGACAACCCUAGAGAUAGGGCUUUCCCUUCGGGGACAGAGUGACAGGUGGUGCAUGGUUGUCGUCAGCUCGUGUCGUGAGAUGUUGGGUUAAGUCCCGCAACGAGCGCAACCCUUGAUCUUAGUUGCCAGCAUUCAGUUGGGCACUCUAAGGUGACUGCCGGUGACAAACCGGAGGAAGGUGGGGAUGACGUCAAAUCAUCAUGCCCCUUAUGACCUGGGCUACACACGUGCUACAAUGGACAGAACAAAGGGCUGCGAGACCGCAAGGUUUAGCCAAUCCCACAAAUCUGUUCUCAGUUCGGAUCGCAGUCUGCAACUCGACUGCGUGAAGCUGGAAUCGCUAGUAAUCGCGGAUCAGCAUGCCGCGGUGAAUACGUUCCCGGGCCUUGUACACACCGCCCGUCACACCACGAGAGUUUGCAACACCCGAAGUCGGUGAGGUAACCUUUAUGGAGCCAGCCGCCGAAGGUGGGGCAGAUGAUU
This 1470-nucleotide ribosomal RNA is filed under the name Bacillus sp. (in: firmicutes). RNAcentral describes it as "bacterial SSU rRNA". It matches the Rfam family "Bacterial small subunit ribosomal RNA". The record is from RNAcentral. Lineage: Bacteria; Bacillati; Bacillota; Bacilli; Caryophanales; Bacillaceae.